Molecule: long non-coding RNA, 1037 nt
Organism: Hemicordylus capensis (graceful crag lizard)
Lineage: Eukaryota; Metazoa; Chordata; Lepidosauria; Squamata; Cordylidae
Exons: 3
Source: RefSeq, a predicted model, not a curated record
ACGCGCUGGCAUUCCGGCGGAGAGAAGCAGCUGUUCUUUCUUGGGACUGGCUCCAGAGCCUGGCAAAGGGCAGCCGGGCUCUGGCCUUGCACACGCAAAGGCGGCAUCACCUUCUGGGCGCUGCAGCUGGCUGGCGCUCCCCGUUCUGCUGCUGUGCCGCGGGAGCCGAGCGAGCCUCUCGGAGGGGCAUUAUGACGCACCCGAUCGGUAUUAGAACACUUCACCUUCUAUUUAUAGGCACUCCACCAACCGCAGAACACGCUCUGUCUCCCCUGCUCGCUCGCUCUGUCGUUGCUCCAUACAGGAGGGGAGGGGAGAAAGGAAGCGCCGUAAAGACACGCGUUUCCCUCUACAGCGCAGGCAGAAAUCUGUACCGGUGAGGGAAAAGACAGAACGCGCACGUCUGUGUGUCUGUCGUGAGUGUGCGCUGCCUGCCAGCAUUUCCAAGCAAAGCGCCAGCAUCUAGCUACCGUCUCACGUGUCGCCUGCCUAUGAAAUGAUUAUGCUCUCCAAACCAUUCUCAGUUGCUCUGAGGAACAACAACAACAAAAGCGUUACGGCUAAUUCAAAAAUAAUGUUGCUGAUCCAGUGAGUGGGCCUCAAAUCACCUCAGACACAAUGAUUUUCCAUGCAGCCAGUUCACACAUAAGCCAGUCAUUAACUGUAGACAAAUCAAGUGAAGUACAUGCAUGUGUGACCCAACAACGAACAGGAUCCUGAGAGUGAGGGCUGACUCCCCACUUUGCAUGCUGGAACAGCAUGACCAUGAAGAAUGUGAUAUAUUUCAGACAAAACAGCAGGGAGAGAUGCAGAUUUCCGUAUUAAACAUGAUCAAAUUCUAUACACUAGAAAAUGAACAGACAAAAGCGACUUGAUAAAUCCACAGAGGGCACAGCUGUUCCAGGCACUGGCAGCAGUAUGGCAUGUGAUGGGCCACAGACAAAGCAGGCAAACUUCUGGAGAGAUUAAUUUGACCUUCAGGAAUCCUUUUAGAAGACCAGAGUAAGAUGAUCAACGAUGAUCUUAACACCAUGCUU